Molecule: microRNA precursor, 201 nt
Filed under: Oryza brachyantha (malo sina)
Lineage: Eukaryota; Viridiplantae; Streptophyta; Magnoliopsida; Poales; Poaceae
Description: MIR812 microRNA precursor family
Rfam family: MIR812 microRNA precursor family
Source: Rfam by way of RNAcentral
AAUAAACGAAUUUCUGAGUUUUUCUAUAGAAUUUUUAUCUCUUUGUCUUAUUUGAAUUUUUAAGAUUAAUAUUUUUAUUGUUAUCACAUGAUAAAACAUAACUAGCAUUUUACGUGUGACUAUUUUUUUAACUUUUUCAUAAAUUUUUAAAUAAGACAGAUGGUCAAACGCCAAACUAGAAAACUCAGAAAUGCUCUUUUU